AUUGAACGCUGGCGGCAUGCCUUACACAUGCAAGUCGAACGGUAACAGGGAGCUUGCUCCGCUGACGAGUGGCGAACGGGUGAGUAAUGUAUCGGAACGUACCUUUUAGUGGGGGAUAGCGUAGCGAAAGUUACGCUAAUACCGCAUAUUCUCUGAGGAGGAAAGCAGGGGACCUUCGGGACUAGCGCUAAUAGAGCGGCUGAUAUCAGAUUAGCUAGUUGGUGAGGUAAAGGCUCACCAAGGCGACGAUCUGUAGCGGGUCUGAGAGGAUGAUCCGCCACACUGGAACUGAGACACGGUCCAGACUCCUACGGGAGGCAGCAGUGGGGAAUUUUGGACAAUGGGGGCAACCCUGAUCCAGCCAUGCCGCGUGAGUGAAGAAGGCCUUCGGGUUGUAAAGCUCUUUCGGCCGGGAAAAAAUCGCAUGGGUUAAUACCCUGUGUGGAUGAUGGUACCGGAAUAAGAAGCACCGGCUAACUACGUGCCAGCAGCCGCCGUAA
This 500-nucleotide ribosomal RNA is filed under the name uncultured bacterium. RNAcentral's name for it is "partial 16S ribosomal RNA". It matches the Rfam family "Bacterial small subunit ribosomal RNA", at positions 30 to 523 of the family's 1533-position model. The record is from RNAcentral.